This is a long non-coding RNA of Armigeres subalbatus, 873 nucleotides long. RefSeq lists it as uncharacterized. The transcript is spliced from 3 exons. The record is from RefSeq and is a predicted model, not a curated record. Lineage: Eukaryota; Metazoa; Arthropoda; Insecta; Diptera; Culicidae.
UAACCAAACUGUUUAAUGCCUAUUAUGUCUACAGAAAGUGUUUAAUGUGGUAUGGCGUGGACUGUGAAACGAUGAAUUUGUGGCUGAAAUCAUGGAGAACAAUCACAGUUUUUGAGGAAUUUAAUAUCAUUUUGAAGACUAGUCGAAGUAUUCUUUGGCCAAUUGAUCAUUAUGGUGUUAUUUCUACUCUAAAAUGUGUUGUCCUGAUUUCACCUACAAGUUCAUCAUCGUCUGCAUUGUAUGAUAACCAUACAACGGCCUUCAAAUCUGCUGCGGAAAAUAUUCCCAGCGACUUGCCGUUCAUAUCGGCUACUUCAUAUGAGCUAUUGCCCUUUCUCGCAACCACGACACACGGCUUAUACUGCGGACCUAAUUUGGCGUUGAAGUUUUGCCGGCCUCCGACAGCGCGAAACUCCUCUUGAAAAUUCGUUGUCCGACAGAGAACGUGGGCGACUACGCAGAUUUCGUUCGGCAACGCUACGUGUGCCUUCUACCGGCAUGCUACGGAUCUUCAACUCGUACUCUAGCUCAUCUAUUGUCAGAUGGCCAGGAUUCAUCGCGUGGUACCACGAUACGAAAUGGGACAUAGCCAUCUCUUCAACAGGCAUUCAACUAAGAAAAUCGAAUAUUGAAUUAAAAAAGAAACUAUGGAAUCCUUUCAAGUGGAUUAUCACCCAAAAAAAUUGAAAAUCCUAGAGAAAAGAAAUACUUCUGUUCAAAGAAGCUGUAAAUUAAAAAAUCCUAAAAUUUGUUCACGCUCCCUAAUGAAGCAAAUAAUUUGAAAAUCCUAGUUUUAGUUCGUCUAUCUUUGAUAAACUUUAGUUUUUAUUUGGUGUUUUACUCAACAGUCUGAAAGAAUACAACACUGAUCAA